This 269-nucleotide ribosomal RNA is filed under the name uncultured prokaryote. RNAcentral's name for it is "partial 16S ribosomal RNA". It matches the Rfam family "Bacterial small subunit ribosomal RNA", at positions 524 to 792 of the family's 1533-position model. The record is from RNAcentral.
UACGUAGGGAGCAAGCGUUGUCCGGAUUUACUGGGUGUAAAGGGUGCUCAGGUGGAUUUAUAAGUCAGAGGUGAAAAUCCGAAGCUUAACUUCGGAACUGCCUUUGAUACUGUAAGUCUAGAGUUUGAGAGAGGGCAAUGGAAUAUCUGGUGUAGCAGUGAAAUGCGUAGAUAUCAGAUAGAACACCAAUGGCGAAGGCAGUUGCCUGGCUCAAUACUGACACUAAAGCACGAAAGUGUGGGUAGCAAACAGGAUUAGAUACCCUCGUA